CAGUAGCCACGGGAAUACGUAGGGUGCAAGCGUUAAUCGGAAUUACUGGGCGUAAAGCGUGCGCAGGCGGUUAUAUAAGACAGAUGUGAAAUCCCCGGGCUCAACCUGGGAACUGCAUUUGUGACUGUAUAGCUAGAGUACGGCAGAGGGGGAUGGAAUUCCGCGUGUAGCAGUGAAAUGCGUAGAUAUGCGGAGGAACACCGAUGGCGAAGGCAAUCCCCUGGGCCUGUACUGACGCUCAUGCACGAAAGCGUGGGGAGCAAACAGGAUUAGAUACCCCCGUAGUCCCUGUCUCUAAUAC
This 301-nucleotide ribosomal RNA is filed under the name uncultured bacterium. RNAcentral's name for it is "partial 16S ribosomal RNA". It matches the Rfam family "Bacterial small subunit ribosomal RNA", at positions 509 to 809 of the family's 1533-position model. The record is from RNAcentral.